GACGAACGCUGGCGGCGUGCUUAACACAUGCAAGUCGAACGAAGAGCGAUGGAAGCUUGCUUCUAUCAAUCUUAGUGGCGAACGGGUGAGUAACGCGUAAUCAACCUGCCCUUCAGAGGGGGACAACAGUUGGAAACGACUGCUAAUACCGCAUACGAUCUGACCUCGGCAUCGAGGAUAGAUGAAAGGUGGCCUCUAUUUAUAAGCUAUCACUGAAGGAGGGGAUUGCGUCUGAUUAGCUAGUUGGAGGGGUAACGGCCCACCAAGGCGAUGAUCAGUAGCCGGUCUGAGAGGAUGAACGGCCACAGUGGGACUGAGACACGGCCCAGACUCCUACGGGAGGCAGCAGUGGGGAAUCUUCCGCAAUGGACGAAAGUCUGACGGAGCAACGCCGCGUGAGUGAUGACGGCCUUCGGGUUGUAAAGCUCGGUUAAUCGGGACGAAAGGCCUUCUUGCGAAUAGUUAGAAGGAUUGACGGUACCGGAAUAGAAAGCCACGGCUAACUACGUG
This 510-nucleotide ribosomal RNA is filed under the name uncultured bacterium. Its description in RNAcentral is "partial 16S ribosomal RNA". It matches the Rfam family "Bacterial small subunit ribosomal RNA", at positions 28 to 507 of the family's 1533-position model. The record is from RNAcentral.